Long non-coding RNA from Physeter macrocephalus (sperm whale), 4737 nucleotides. RefSeq lists it as uncharacterized. The record is from RefSeq and is a predicted model, not a curated record. The transcript is spliced from 3 exons. Lineage: Eukaryota; Metazoa; Chordata; Mammalia; Artiodactyla; Physeteridae.
UGACUCAGCGCCGGGGGCGGGGCGGGGUGGGCAGCGGGGUCCCCUCCCCGCGGGGCGCAGGAGCUUCGCCCUGUCGGCCUUACUGCCUUUUGAGCGGAGGCCGACCUUGGGCCUGGCUGCGGUGCAGGCUCGCCCACCCAGCCGGCUCUGUGCGCGGUCCGACCGCUGGAAUCCCGGAGGGGCUCGGAAGUUUUCAUUUGGGGUCGGGAAAGGCCUUGAACUUGCUCAGAGUUGUGGGGUGAAGCCACAGAUUUCUGGAGGCAUUUGGGGGACGUGAAGAACGUCAAAGGCAAAUUGGUGCUGGCAGUUACUAUGUUGUGGUUUUCACCUGCGGUCAAACCUCAGAUAAAGAAACUGACUAGAGAAACAACUCGAGGGAUGGAGGUGUGGACAACUAAGCUGACAUCUGCCUCUCCAGGAUCUUAUCUUGUGUAUAGUAGUUCCUCUGUGGAUGUUGGUGGGAUGAAUAAAUGAAAGAGGAGCACAUAGAUGCUGGAUUCGAUGGAGAAUCGCCCUGAAGAUCCUUAGCUGUGCCUCUUCUCUCUGGGGCUGGGGCGCAGCUGGAGGGACUGGAGGCUGUCUGCAGAGGGGACGUGAGGGGAGAUUUAACUGAAGAGGUGACACUUGAGCUGGACCUUGAAAUUGGAAUUCUCCUGGCAGAUGGGAGUAAGUCAACUGCAUCUUUGGAGAAUGUUGUGCAGUAUUUUGUCAGUGGAAUGAGGUCAGUGGAAGGUGGAGAGGAGUAGGGUAAAGACAGGAGAUUGUAUGUGAAGGUCUAUCUGUGUUUAGCAGAGAAGGGCCUUCUUAGGCCGUACGGACUUUGGACCUUAUCCUGAAGGUAGAGGGACAACUUGAACCGACUGUGUUGCAGAAAGACCACUCUGGCAGCAACCUGGAGGAUGGAUUGGAAGCAUCAAAGAUGAAGAGAGACACUGGGUGGAAAUGGGUUAGACUGUCACAGGAGGGAAUGUUUGAGGACCUCAACUGUGGGAUUAGAGAAGAGGGUUGGACUAGAUAAUCCCUAAACUCACUACCUAGGCCUUUGGUCCUUUUUGCACCUGCCCCUCUCACCCUGUUCCUACUUGGUUACCUUGAUGGACCAUCUCCCAGGGAGAUGGAGCAUGAGCUUCCCCAUUCCCCCAUGGGGACCUGUUUGGAUUUUGACCCUAUCCAGUGUGCCUGUUUGUCAGUUUUGUCCUCCCAGUAGAAAGCUGUACUCUGUCUUGGGGUCCUUUCCACUCCCACCUCCAUCCGGCCCUGACUGUGCUCUCUCCUCCGGCCUUGGACCGUGGGUCUCCAGACUGGCAGUGACAACUCUGCUGUCCUUCCCAUUAUUCUUUCCAAGAGGAAGGAUGAGACGCCAUGUCUCAUUGGAAGAUGUUGACAAACAGGAACUAGAAAAACAGAUUAAAGGAACCUUGGGACUUGGUCAGAGAGCAGAAGUGAAAUACAGGAAAUGCAGGGCAGUCCCACAGAAUGACCCAGCAAGUCUGAACCCCUUGAUUUAAAUUCAGCUCAGUUCUAUAAAAGGUAACCCUAAAACCAGAGGUACAUGUCUUCUCCUAAUCACUUCACUGUUAUCCCAGGUGAGGGUUACACAUGCUACCCUUUCUUGUUCACCUUGUCUGUGAAGCUGUCAUCUCAUGAUUCUUGGGCCUAUAGACUUCAGCAACCAGUCAACAAAGAGGUUUUUGGUACUUACUGUGUGCCCAGCCUCACGCUGGCUGGGAUAGGAUACAGACGCCCCCUGACUGUGUUCCCAAGGAAUCUGGUGUUUUAGUCUAGUUGGAAAAGCAAAACAGACAUAGAGAACAGAAAAGGUGAGUGGUUAAGAGGGCGGUUAAGAUUGGGUGGGACGUGCCGCAGAUACCAUAGAACCUGAGAAAGUAAGAAGCAGAUGGUCUGGGUCUCUUGGGUUCCCUCAAGUUGGGGGCAAGAUCCAGCCUAGAUCUAGCUGAAGCUGGAUCACAACCAGCCUCAGGGUAAGAUUGGGGGCCGAGCAGACUUCAAGGUGCUCUUACACGGGCUUCGUCCCUGUUUCCCAAAUGUUUACAAUGUUUCUGUAGUCUGCACCUGUCUGCUUCUCCACAUUCUCCAUUGACCCUUCAAGGCCCAGCGCAAAUGCUUUUUUUUUUUUUUCUUUUUCAGGACGACACUUUCCUUUUUUUUAAAAAAAUAUUUAUUUAUUUGGUUGCACUGGGUCUUAGUUGUGGCAGGCGGGCUCCUUAGUUGCAGCACCUGGGCUCCUUAGUGGCAGCAUACGAACUCUUAGUUGUGGCAUGCAUGUAGGAUCUAGUACUCUGCCCAGGGAUCAAACCCGGGCCCCCUGCAUUGGGAGCGUGGAGUCUUAUCCACUGUGCCACCAGGGAAGUCCCAAGACACUUUCCUUCUUAACAGUCGGAACUGUCGCUGAUCCUCCGCAGCCCUUUGCUGAUAAUUCUGUUGUGACAUUUACUCCAUCUUUUUAUAUGUUUGUGAAUGUCACGUAUCUGGUUACAUAUUUGUGUUUUCUUCACUUCCACUAGAUUGUGAGCUUCUCAUUAGCAGGGAACAUGUCUGGUUCAUUUUUCUAACUCCCAGGGACUAGCCCAGAGUGGUGCCCUGCUCAAAAACAUCUGUUCAAUGAAUGGACAGCAGUUUGACAGGUAACCUUCUCCGUGGUGUAUCAGUUAUAUAAAAUCAGUUGUGUAAAAUAAUCCUAAAACCAGAAUGGGGAGGUGCCUGCUUUCCGGGGACAACUUCUGGCAGAGGAACAGCAAGAUGAAAGGUCAUUAUAGGGAAUUCCCAGUGGUUAGGACUCCAUGCUUCCACUGCAGGGGACCUGGGUUUGAUCCCUGGUCAGGGAACUAAGAUCCCGCAGAAUGCACGGGCAUGGCCAAAAAAAAAAAAAAAAGAGAAAGAAAGAAAGAAAGGUCAUUAUAGGUUGGACUUGUGUGGAUACACAAGAGAAGGGUGUCCAACUGUCUCUUGGUCUUGACCCUCAGGACCAAAGGGACAAAAGCAGGGUAUGAGUGUCAAGAAUGCCCUCCCUUAGGUUAUGGAAAGUCUUGGAAUCAGAAGUGUUAGGGAUUAGUUCUGAGCCAAUCUCUGGUGACAAUAUACUUGCUUUAUUAACCUUUAUGGGAUUGUUCUUUGACCCAAAUGAGGUAAGAAAUAUGUGACUUCUUUGAAAAAUGUAAAGUAUUACUGGAAUAUCAGGCAUCCUUGUAUUCUCCUCUUACUCCUGAUCCUUACUUCUCUUUCAUUCUUUCGGUAACAAAAUUCUCAAAUCAGCAGCCACUAAGGCCAGCUGGGAAGAGCUUAGGCAGUCUCCCUUUGAGUUCCCAUUUAGGCCCAAAGACUAGAUCCAAGGUGGUAGAGAGGGAAGAACAUGGUUUUUUGUCUUCUAAACCAGGUGACCUUGGGUAAAUCACUUCAACUCUCUGAGCCUCAGUUUCCUCAUCUGUAAAGUGGAGAUAAUAAUCUUUACCCUGCCCACUUUCUAGGGCUCCUGGGAGGGUCAAAUGAGACAAUGAACAUGACAGUGCCUUGUAAACUGUAAAGGUCUGUUCAAAUGCUAUGGAUUUACUUUUUAAUCUGUGCUGGAGGGCCCUAGAUAAAAUUUGCCGGUUGUAAGAUGGUUGUAAGUUUAGACAGUGACAUCAUACUGGCCUGUGAUUGGAGUCCAGGGUGGGGCAGAGAAGGCGGGCCCAGAGUCACAGGGGUGGGUAGAAUGCAUCAGGGACCCCACCCACUGCCUGCUGGAGAAGACCUGAGUCUGCUGUCACUCGUUUUAAUGACGUGAAGAAAUUCAGUCUCCUGGUUUCCAAACUGUCAAAGGCUCUGCCGUGACCACUGUGUUCAGGAGAGACUUGGAUUCAAGUUCAAGGAUUGGGGCCACUCUGAUUUGGUUCUCUGUCUCCAGGGUCUUUCUUAGCUUGGUGCCCGUGAUAAAGGUAGAAUAGGAUAGUUUACAGGUAGUUGUAGAAGUCCCAGUAGGGGACUAUAGAUAGAGAGGGAAACCUAGGAAACUUUGGAAGACCACUGUAAGUUAAUGAUCACUCAAGAAAGCUACUGGAACAUCCUGGAACAGGCAGACUUGCUUAACUAUGAAGCCAUAAAUAAAAGCACGAGAUAUGCCCUAGGCCAUUAAGUGGAAGAAAAAUGUCACCACCCUUCUACUGAUUUGAAUAAGUGCUAUGAUAAUCCUAGUUUGACCUCAUGGGGUCAGACACCCUCCUGCCUGAUACAGAGGAGGAACUAGUGAUGUAAGCCUCAUGUCUACCCGAAGGAAGGCGGUCUCUUCCCCACCCUCUUUCCCUUGACUAUAAAACUGUAGCCCACUUAAUCCUCAGGGCAGAGCUCCCUCACCUCCCCACUUGCAUCUCUUACAAGCAUCUUGUAUUAACAGAUCUGCUUCUUGCCUAUCACUUUUCCUCUUGCUGAAUUCCCUCUGCGCUGAGACACAAAGAACCUGAGCCUCAGUAAGUCCAGAUACGAGGUGAGUGAUUCUAAUUAAAAGACCGUGGGUUCAAGUCCCAAUCAGGGUUUUGGCUGGGUUCGAGUCCUGGCACGUGGGUUCAAGUCCCAAUCUGAGGUGUACUGUUUUGCCCAGACAUGGUGGGCAUCCAAAAUAAACCUGUUGUUGAACAAAAUACAGGUAGUGCAUUUUGUGAGAUCUCUCAUCCUCUUUAUUCUCACUUCCUUUGUGUUUGCAAAUUCCAGGUGUAGGUAAACAUUAAAACACACACACACACA